Non-coding RNA from Xyrichtys novacula (pearly razorfish), 615 nucleotides. NCBI's taxonomy places the organism in Eukaryota, Metazoa, Chordata, Actinopteri, Labriformes, Labridae. The record is from the annotation of a GenBank genome assembly.
CUGUAUGUUGGAGGUGAUCGUUAAAGCAGCCUGAGGGAAACCUGGUUUAGUUGUAGCAUUUUAAAAAAAAAGAAAAACAUUGUGUCUAGCUAACACUGUGUUUUCUUUAAAGUAUGCUGGACUCAAGAUUCACUUUUAAACCUUAAGAGGGAGCGUUCGGGGUUUGAGAAAAGCUACUUAAUGAGGGUUUAUCAGUUGGGAAUCAUAUUCAAGUUCAUUAAUAGUGAUGGGAAUUACAGGUCUUUUUAGUGAGCCAGAUCAUCCGGCUCAGCUCAAAAAGAGGAGCUAGCUCUUUCAGCCCCCAAACAGCUCUUCAUUUUUCUAUUUAUAAAUUUUUCUAAUUCAACCAAAUGUAGCGUUGUUUUGCUUAUGAUAUGUACAUAUGUAUACAUAUACCUCUUAAAUAAUUCAAUACAUCCUUUGUACUGAAGUAUUCACAAGUCAAAAACACAUUUUCUAAUAUCAGUAAAUUGCUGUAGCCAGUUGUUUUCAUUGCAUUUACAGACCCUUGUAACUCUCUGAAACCACCCAAUGAAUAAUAAUAAAUAAUAAUAAUAAUGCAUCAACUUAAGCAUAGAAUUUAAAAAGGACAGCUAUUGAGAUUUUCAAUGUUUA